AUUGAACGCUGGCGGCAGGCCUAACACAUGCAAGUCGAGCGGAUGAAGGGAGCUUGCUCCUGGAUUCAGCGGCGGACGGGUGAGUAAUGCCUAGGAAUCCGCCUGGUAGUGGGGGAUAACGUCCGGAAACGGGCGCUAAUACCGCAUACGUCCUGAGGGAGAAAGUGGGGGAUCUUCGGACCUCACGCUAUCAGAUGAGCCUAGGUCGGAUUAGCUAGUUGGUGGGGUAAAGGCCUACCAAGGCGACGAUCCGUAACUGGUCUGAGAGGAUGAUCAGUCACACUGGAACUGAGACACGGUCCAGACUCCUACGGGAGGCAGCAGUGGGGAAUAUUGGACAAUGGGCGAAAGCCUGAUCCAGCCAUGCCGCGUGUGUGAAGAAGGUCUUCGGAUUGUAAAGCACUUUAAGUUGGGAGGAAGGGCAGUAAGUUAAUACCUUGCUGUUUUGACGUUACCAACAGAAUAAGCACCGGCUAACUUCGUGCCAGCAGCCGCGGUAAUACGAAGGGUGCAAGCGUUAAUCGGAAUUACUGGGCGUAAAGCGCGCGUAGGUGGUUCAGCAAGUUGGAUGUGAAAUCCCCGGGCUCAACCUGGGAACUGCAUCCAAAACUACUGAGCUAGAGUACGGUAGAGGGUGGUGGAAUUUCCUGUGUAGCGGUGAAAUGCGUAGAUAUAGGAAGGAACACCAGUGGCGAAGGCGACCACCUGGACUGAUACUGACACUGAGGUGCGAAAGCGUGGGGAGCAAACAGG
RNAcentral lists this ribosomal RNA (753 nucleotides) under uncultured Pseudomonas sp. RNAcentral describes it as "bacterial SSU rRNA". It matches the Rfam family "Bacterial small subunit ribosomal RNA", at positions 28 to 776 of the family's 1533-position model. Lineage: Bacteria; Pseudomonadati; Pseudomonadota; Gammaproteobacteria; Pseudomonadales; Pseudomonadaceae. The record is from RNAcentral.